Molecule: ribosomal RNA, 254 nt
Filed under: uncultured bacterium
Lineage: Bacteria
Description: partial 16S ribosomal RNA
Rfam family: Bacterial small subunit ribosomal RNA
Source: RNAcentral
UACGGGGGGGGGCAAGCGUUGUUCGGAAUCACUGGGCUUAAAGGGCGCGUAGGCGGGCUGCCAAGUCAGGGGUGAAAUCCCACGGCUCAACCGUGGAAGUGCCUCUGAUACUGGCGGCCUCGAGGGAGGUAGGGGCGUGCGGAACUUCCGGUGGAGCGGUGAAAUGCGUAGAUAUCGGAAGGAACACCGGUGGCGAAAGCGGCGCGCUGGACCUCUACUGACGCUGAGGCGCGAAAGCCAGGGGAGCAAACGGG